AUGGCACGACUCCUCCUCAUCCUGGCCGCCUCGCUGGUCGCACUGGCGUGGCCGGCGUCGUGCCAACGUCUUCCGGUGCUCGCCCCGGUCACCAAGGAUCUCGCCACCUCCCUCUACACCCUCCCCUUCCACGACGGAGCCAAUCUCGUCGUCGACAUCGCCGGCCCGCUCGUCUGGUCCACCUGCCAGCGUGACCACCUGCCGGCGGAGCUCCCGUGCAAGAGCCCCACCUGCCGACUCGCCAACGCCUACCCCGUCCCGGGCUGCCACGCGCCCGGCUGCGGCCGCGAUUGGCACGGCGACAGGACGUGCACGGUCUACCCGUACAACCCGGUCACCGGCGCGUGCGCUGCCGGGAACCUCGUCCACACAAGGUUUGUCGCCAACACCACCGACGGGAGGAACCCGGUGAGCCAGGUGAACGUCAGGGCCGUGGCGGCGUGCGCGCCGAGGAAGCUCCUGGCGUCGCUGCCCCGGGGCUCCACGGGCGUUGCCGGGCUGGCGGGCUCCGGCCUGGCGCUUCCGGCGCAGGUGGCGUCCACGCAGAAGGUCGCCAAUAAGUUCCUCCUCUGCCCCCCCGCGGCGGCCAACGGCGACGGCGUGGCCAUCUUCGGCGGCGGCCCGCUUCACUUCUGGGUGGACCCGUCGGACUACACGCAGUCGAUGGACCACACCCCGCUCGUCACCAAGCAGGGCAGCCCGGCGCACUACAUCUCGGUCAAGUCCAUUAGCAUGGACAACACCCGCGUCCUCGUCUCCGAGCGCGCGCUCGCCACGGGCGGCGUGAUGCUCAGCACGAGGGUGCCCUACGCAUUGCUCCGGCGGGACGUCUACCGCCCGUUCGUGGACGCGUUCGUCAAGGCCCUGGCGGCGCAGGCUGCGCCAGUGAGGCCUGUGGCGCCGUUCGAGCUGUGCUACGACGCGCAGACGCUGGGCAACACGAGGUUCGGGUACUGGGUGCCGAGCGUCACCCUGGCGCUCGACGGCGGGAGGGACUGGAGGAUGGCCGGGGUGAACUCGAUGGUGGACGUCGAGCCGGGGACGGCGUGCCUUGCGUUCGUGGAGAUGAAGGGGGUGAAGGCCGGGGACGGCAGGGCGCCGGCGGUGAUCGUGGGAGGGCUCCAGAUGGAGAACAUCGUGCUGGAGUUCGACAUGGAGAAGAAGCGGCUCGGGUUGCGCACGAUGCCCUACUAUAUGCAGUGCAGCCACUUCAAUUUCACUCGAAGCGCCUAG
This 1233-nucleotide ribosomal RNA is filed under the name Triticum aestivum (bread wheat). RNAcentral's name for it is "partial small subunit ribosomal RNA". The record is from RNAcentral. Lineage: Eukaryota; Viridiplantae; Streptophyta; Magnoliopsida; Poales; Poaceae.